UGUAAAAUAAGCUAAGAUAUAAGCUGUUGGGUUCAUACCCCAAAAAUGAGUAGAUGACUCUUUUACAA
This 68-nucleotide transfer RNA is filed under the name Babylonia zeylanica. RNAcentral describes it as "tRNA-Met". The record is from RNAcentral. Lineage: Eukaryota; Metazoa; Mollusca; Gastropoda; Neogastropoda; Buccinidae.